This 110-nucleotide small nucleolar RNA is filed under the name Mus caroli (Ryukyu mouse). RNAcentral's name for it is "snoRNA (MGP_CAROLIEiJ_G0036178.1)". It matches the Rfam family "Small nucleolar RNA SNORA17". Rfam says of the family: snoRNA ACA 17 belongs to the H/ACA family of snoRNAs and is predicted to guide pseudouridylation of the 28S rRNA at positions U4659 and U4598. It shares the same host gene together with ACA43. The record is from RNAcentral. Lineage: Eukaryota; Metazoa; Chordata; Mammalia; Rodentia; Muridae.
ACGGGCCCUAGAGGUGUUGCCGAUGUGGCUACUGUGUCAUCUGUAGGUGUUGGAAAGAAGAGAAGCUAUUUUUAUGCUCAGUGUUCUGACAUGUGUUGAGGCUUGGCCUU